This is a long non-coding RNA of Girardinichthys multiradiatus, 305 nucleotides long. RefSeq lists it as uncharacterized. The transcript is spliced from 2 exons. The record is from RefSeq and is a predicted model, not a curated record. NCBI's taxonomy places the organism in Eukaryota, Metazoa, Chordata, Actinopteri, Cyprinodontiformes, Goodeidae.
CUCGUAGCCAUGGUGACGGGUGGUAACAACAGAGAAUGCCGUCCAGUCAUAUUCUUCAAGCACUUCGAAAAUCACCUCAAGUUGGAGCAUUGUGGAGCAAGUGAACUGAAGACUGGCUCCUCCGCCGACAGCAACAACAGGAACCCCAGUCUGUGCGGAGACAAACUCAAGCAUCGGAGCCAGAGGGGCACGGUUCGGCGGUGGAGGUCUCUCCUCCUCAAACACCAAACCCUGCAACAAAGGUUGCAUUGGGUCAAAUAUCAUAUAAAGAUAAAAAGUAAUUAUAAAAGAGAAAUUUAGCAAAA